This 916-nucleotide long non-coding RNA is filed under the name Musa acuminata (dwarf banana). Its description in RNAcentral is "long non-coding RNA (MACU_LNC000813)". Lineage: Eukaryota; Viridiplantae; Streptophyta; Magnoliopsida; Zingiberales; Musaceae. The record is from RNAcentral.
CUCCGUUGUUGUCGUCUUGAAAUGGAACGGUUGGAUCUCGUCCCGAGUCUAAAGGUCCUCGCUUGUCUUGGCGUUCUUCUAAUCUUCCUGGGUCGCAGCUAUGGUUCUCUUACGCAGAAUUCUUGUGUCACAUCAAGUAGUUGCUGUGCCUAAAUCAUGCCUUUUCUUACAAAAACGUGUUUUUCCAAGCCUUCUCACCUCAGCUUUGGCUUGUGUUACACAUCUUGCAUGGUUUGUGUAUGGCGUGACACAUGAAAGGAAAAAGGUGUAUCUAAAUGGAAACUUUUCAAGCUCGAGUUAUUGUAGAUGCCCACCCACAACGCUUAUUCCCCUUAUGCCAACGAAUGAGGAUAAUAUUUUCGGCACACCCGUAAGAAAGCCUAGAAAAUGGUGUUCAUGGCCAUCAAUUGACAGAAUGAUGAAUGGAUCGCUCUUUCAGAUUGCCACCGCAGCGUGCGUGUCAUUCCAAGCCCAUGCUUUGUUAACGUUGGAAGGGAAGGAAGCAGCACAAAGGCAAAGGCGAGCUUUUCAUUUGGUCAGCGAUGCGCCGUCACCAGCGUCUCGAUGAAUCUGAGUCCGUCGAACCUCGGCGCGAAUUUGUCUUCCCCUCCCCUUCCCGAUCCCGUUCCGGCGGCGCGAUUCUGCCUCGACGUUCCCGAUCCCUGUCAAGUCAGUCGACCCGUAUGGAAUUCUUUCGUUUUGUUUCCCUACCAAGAAUCAUGUGAUUGAGGCGAGAACAGGAAUACCUCCUCGGAGGACGAGGAGGGGGAGGGGCGGCUGGCGGCUGAGAGGGCGAUGGAAGAGGCUGCCGCGACGGAGGCGGCCAAGGCCCCGGCCUUCUUCAUCUCCUACCGACUUCUUGGUGUCGACGCCGUCUACCUUCCCUCCCGCCCUUUUAAUGGCCCAAAAGAAUCUC